Molecule: unclassified non-coding RNA, 226 nt
Filed under: uncultured Geminibasidium
Lineage: Eukaryota; Fungi; Basidiomycota; Geminibasidiomycetes; Geminibasidiales; Geminibasidiaceae
Description: sequence contains ITS2
Source: RNAcentral
ACACCUCAACCCUCCAAUGUUUUUGCAUUGAAGGUGUCGGUAGUGAGCGCUGCCGGACUUUUGGUCGGCUCGCUUUAAAAUCAUUAGCUGGAUCCAUUCUGACCUGGUUCUACUCGGCGUAAUAAGUUAAUAUCGUCGAGGACGUUUGUCUUUCUAGGCAGGCGGCCACAGUAAGGGCGUUUGAACCGAUUCCAACACGUCUUGCUCUUGUAGCAAACACUUGAAC